Molecule: ribosomal RNA, 253 nt
Filed under: uncultured bacterium
Lineage: Bacteria
Description: partial 16S ribosomal RNA
Rfam family: Bacterial small subunit ribosomal RNA
Source: RNAcentral
UACGUAGGGUGCAAGCGUUAAUCGGAAUUACUGGGCGUAAAGCGUGCGCAGGCGGUUUUGUAAGUCUGACGUGAAAUCCCCGGGCUCAACCUGGGAAUUGCGAUGGAGACUGCAAGGCUUGAAUCUGGCAGAGGGGGGUAGAAUUCCACGUGUAGCAGUGAAAUGCGUAGAGAUGUGGAGGAACACCGAUGGCGAAGGCAGCCCCCUGGGUCAAGAUUGACGCUCAUGCACGAAAGCGUGGGGAGCAAACCGG